UGGAUUAAUUCUUAGUGAGCAGCAGACUGUCACAACUCUAUAUCUUAUGCAAAUUCAAUUUCUUCAUCAUCUUCUUUCGUCGUUUGAUACGGUAGUCCUCAUGUAUAUUACCUAGUGUUUCAGUAUUGUUAAAAAGUGAGAACAUGAUUGAUUUCAGAAAUUCUUAAAAGGAAACAAACCAAGGUCCAAUUAAAACUUGGUAGGAGUCUUAAAAUUGGGGAAAGAGUGUUGAAGUAGUUAGGUUUUAAUUUCUUAGUUAUUUUAGCCAACGUUUACGACUUUAUAUUAGGCCCAAACUUCUAUUCUUUUUAGGCACAAAUUUUUUUUUUUUUCUUCGAGUAAAAAGAAACAAACAAUUAAUAGGGAAUGCAAAGCAUCCUGCACAACACAAGACGUUUUGGGCUUAUUCACAGCUUCCCUAGCCGAAGCAUUCUCCACCCAGUUACAAUUUAUAGAGAUCCUCUCAUCCUCUCAUUACCUUUUUUUAAAAAAAAAUAGACCUCUUUUAUUGAUAUCAUCAUAGCAAUACAUCAUAGUCGGGGAGGUAAGGUCUUCCAUACAUGAAAACUGGAGUAAGAUCGGGCAUUCCUAGUAAUCCGGUGUGCCACUGCGUUUUCUUGUUGUAUGAUCCAGUUAUCGGAAAUGUUGUCUCAGAGUUUACGAUAAACCUAAAUUCGGAGUUGUUCGGGAUCUCGGGAGCUGAUGGCGGCUGCUACGUUUUAGGCAUCCAUCUCCAAUAUGCCAGGUCCCAUCUCUCAUUGCUCUGUAAAGUACAUUUUUGAUAUAAUUAUAUAUUUU
RNAcentral lists this long non-coding RNA (798 nucleotides) under Carica papaya (papaya). Its description in RNAcentral is "long non-coding RNA (CPAP_LNC008722)". The record is from RNAcentral. Lineage: Eukaryota; Viridiplantae; Streptophyta; Magnoliopsida; Brassicales; Caricaceae.